GAGAGUUUGAUCCUGGCUCAGAGCGAACGCUGGCGGCAGGCUUAACACAUGCAAGUCGAACGGGCACUUCGGUGCUAGUGGCAGACGGGUGAGUAACACGUGGGAACGUACCUUUCGGUUCGGAAUAAUUCAGGGAAACUUGGACUAAUACCGGAUACGCCCUUCGGGGGAAAGAUUUAUCGCCGAUAGAUCGGCCCGCGUCUGAUUAGCUAGUUGGUGAGGUAAUGGCUCACCAAGGCGACGAUCAGUAGCUGGUCUGAGAGGAUGAUCAGCCACAUUGGGACUGAGACACGGCCCAAACUCCUACGGGAGGCAGCAGUGGGGAAUAUUGGACAAUGGGCGCAAGCCUGAUCCAGCCAUGCCGCGUGAGUGAUGAAGGCCUUAGGGUUGUAAAGCUCUUUUGUCCGGGAAGAUAAUGACUGUACCGGAAGAAUAAGCCCCGGCUAACUUCGUGCCAGCAGCCGCGGUAAUACGAAGGGGGCUAGCGUUGCUCGGAAUCACUGGGCGUAAAGGGCGCGUAGGCGGACUUUUAAGUCGGAGGUGAAAGCCCAGGGCUCAACCCUGGAAUUGCCUUCGAUACUGGAAGUCUUGAGUUCGGAAGAGGUUGGUGGAACUGCGAGUGUAGAGGUGAAAUUCGUAGAUAUUCGCAAGAACACCAGUGGCGAAGGCGGCCAACUGGUCCGAUACUGACGCUGAGGCGCGAAAGCGUGGGGAGCANACAGGAUUAGAUACCCUGGUAGUCCACGCCGUAAACGAUGAAUGCCAGCCGUUGGGGGAGCAUGCUCUUCAGUGACGCAGCUAACGCUUUAAGCAUUCCCGCCCUGGGGAGUACGGGUNCGCAAGAUU
This 846-nucleotide ribosomal RNA is filed under the name uncultured bacterium. Its description in RNAcentral is "bacterial SSU rRNA". It matches the Rfam family "Bacterial small subunit ribosomal RNA", at positions 8 to 895 of the family's 1533-position model. The record is from RNAcentral.